AUUCCAGGCUCUGUGAACUAAGUGACUGAAGCUGAUUGACACAGGUCAAGGGGACUUCAAGGAAGAAAGCCAGCCUUAGACUGACAUCAGAGAACCAAACUCCGGUGUCUAAGCUCAAGUAAUACAAGUAAUUGGGAAGACACUGGCUCAGAGCCUGUCUCUGGUGACCACUGAAUUGUCCAGCACCUGAGGUCCCUGGAGCCCACGGACUGAGCCCAUCUGGGCUAAAAGAGGUCCCAUACAUCCUUCUCAAAGGCCUAUAUAAAUGCCAAGCAGAGUUAUAGCAGGAGGUUAGAAUCCUGAGAACUGUUUGGAAUAAGGAAUCCAAAUAUUGUCUUCCAGCUUCACCUUGUCACGACAGUCCUCGCCAGGGACAGCUGAGCAUCUACAUCUCCAUUUAUGCCGUGUGCACGCAGUACCAACAGAGGUCAGAGGAGGGUGUCGGAUCCCCUGGAACUGGAGUCACAGAUUCUUCCUUGCGUGGAUGAAACAGUCCCAACGAACACUUUAAAAAGACAAAUGUUCCCGACAGCACUGGUUGAAUUCAAAACUCGGCAGAUCCAUGUUCUUAUCCUUAGACAAGAGAGGGGCCAUAACAAGAUGGAAUGACGGAACAGACGUGAGAGAUGAUGUCCACCCAGAGGGUCUGCACUUCUCGGAGCCAGAAGGUGGAGAAGAGUAGGGAUGGAGGAAGUUCGAAGUUUUAGGAGUCUGCUCUUGGGUCCCUAGGCAUGAGGACAAGCUUUUCCUGUACUCAAUGCUCAUCUCUCAGUUGUGCCCACAUUGGUACACAUUACUUGCUUUCAACUGCUGCUGCUGCUGUUUCCUAAUUCAAUAAAGAUAUGGCUGGCUCAGCAGAGAGCUGUCAUC
This 870-nucleotide long non-coding RNA is filed under the name Mus musculus (house mouse). RNAcentral's name for it is "predicted gene 29154". The record is from RNAcentral. Lineage: Eukaryota; Metazoa; Chordata; Mammalia; Rodentia; Muridae.